This 427-nucleotide ribosomal RNA is filed under the name uncultured Aquicella sp. RNAcentral describes it as "partial 16S ribosomal RNA". It matches the Rfam family "Bacterial small subunit ribosomal RNA", at positions 355 to 774 of the family's 1533-position model. Lineage: Bacteria; Pseudomonadati; Pseudomonadota; Gammaproteobacteria; Legionellales; Coxiellaceae. The record is from RNAcentral.
UGGGGAAUAUUGGACAAUGGGGGCAACCCUGAUCCAGCGAUGCCGCGUGAGUGAAGAAGGCCUUCGGGUCGUAAAGCUCUUUAGGUUGGGAAGAAGCGUAUAAGGUUAAUACCCUUGUACGUUGACGGUACUGACAGAAUAAGCACCGGCAAACUCUGUGCCAGCAGCCGCGGUAAUACAGAGGGUGCAAGCGUUAAUCGGAGUUACUGGGCGUAAAGGGCGCGUAGGCGGUUGUGUGAGUGUGAUGUGAAAGCCCCGGGCUUAACCUGGGAAGUGCAUCGCAAACGACAUAACUGGAGUAGAUGAGAGGGUGGCGGAAUUUCCGGUGUAGCGGUGAAAUGCGUAGAGAUCGGAAGGAACGUCAAUGGCGAAGGCAGCCACCUGGCAUCAUACUGACGCUGAGGCGCGAAAGCGUGGGGAGCGAACA